Nematostella vectensis (starlet sea anemone) is the source of this 677-nucleotide long non-coding RNA. RefSeq lists it as uncharacterized. The record is from RefSeq and is a predicted model, not a curated record. The transcript has 2 exons. NCBI's taxonomy places the organism in Eukaryota, Metazoa, Cnidaria, Anthozoa, Actiniaria, Edwardsiidae.
ACCGCUGAUCAGUUGUUGUCACUUGAAACCAGACUCGUGUUCAAGUACUUGACUUUGCAUUGAAAUUAAUCUUACAAAUCGGCCUUAUCCCUAGAAACCUCUUGGCAGAAGGUAAAAACUGAUGUGCUUGAAUAUCAUUUACUUCAAUGAAGCGUAAAGAAACUUUAAAACCCAAACAAAUCCUUCAAAGUUUGCCAUUCCGGCAGGCGUUCUGAACUGAAGUAUGUACAAAAUAGCAAAUAUUUUUCAUUGUAAUGUCUUUAUUGACUUCCAGUAGCUUCCAAGGAUGAACCAAGACUAUUAUACAGCAUCUAAAAUAAGAAUACAGCAAGGAUAGAGUUUAUUUUCUGUGAUUUGUCUUCCGUACAAACAGGGUCUACCUAGAACAGUAGGGCGUGCACAUGGAAAUAUGCUCACAGUGCAGAACGUAAAAAGGACUUUAAAUUAUGCCAUGUAUAGGAAUUGUCAAGUUUCUGAAGUUGCUCAGAUCUUUUUUUAUUUCUCCCGCCAAGUAGUUCUUAUACCCAGAUUGUCGUUCCUUUUUUUAUUCAGCACAGCUAGUUUAAAUUCAGCUAGUUUCUUUCAUGACUAUUAUCAGAUUGAGAAAACUUCAAAAUAACGAUUAAAGUGUUAAACCUCAUUAAUGAUAUUUUAUUAAAAAUAUCUUGCUUAAAUUA